GGGGAGAUGACGGAGCGGUUGAACGUGCUCGUCUCGAAAACGAGUAGGGUCUAAAAAGCCCUCGGGAGUUCGAAUCUCCCUCUCCCCGCCA
This 91-nucleotide transfer RNA is filed under the name Chloroflexales bacterium ZM16-3. RNAcentral describes it as "tRNA-Ser". It matches the Rfam family "tRNA". Rfam says of the family: Transfer RNA (tRNA) molecules are approximately 80 nucleotides in length. Their secondary structure includes four short double-helical elements and three loops (D, anti-codon, and T loops). Further hydrogen bonds mediate the characteristic L-shaped molecular structure. tRNAs have two regions of fundamental functional importance: the anti-codon, which is responsible for specific mRNA codon recognition, and the 3' end, to which the tRNAs corresponding amino acid is attached (by aminoacyl-tRNA synthetases). tRNAs cope with the degeneracy of the genetic code in two manners: having more than one tRNA (with a specific anti-codon) for a particular amino acid; and 'wobble' base-pairing, i.e. permitting non-standard base-pairing at the 3rd anti-codon position. RNAcentral also lists the same sequence under 2 other names. The record is from RNAcentral. Lineage: Bacteria; Bacillati; Chloroflexota; Chloroflexia; Chloroflexales.